UGCGUAGGCGGGCUAAUAAGUCAGUGGUGGAAUCUCUCGGCUCAACCGGGAAACUGCCAUUGAUACUGUUAGUCUUGAGUUCGGUUGAGGUAGGCGGAAUGUGUAAUGUAGCGGUGAAAUGCUUAGAUAUUACACAGAACACCAAUUGCGUAGGCAGCUUACUAGACCGACACUGACGCUGAGGCACGAAAGCGUGGGGAGCGAACAGGAUUAGAUACCCUGGUAGUCC
This 229-nucleotide ribosomal RNA is filed under the name uncultured bacterium. Its description in RNAcentral is "partial 16S ribosomal RNA". It matches the Rfam family "Bacterial small subunit ribosomal RNA", at positions 568 to 796 of the family's 1533-position model. The record is from RNAcentral.